This 368-nucleotide long non-coding RNA is filed under the name Lonchura striata (white-rumped munia). RNAcentral describes it as "domestica (Bengalese finch) lncRNA (ENSLSDG00000017777.1)". Lineage: Eukaryota; Metazoa; Chordata; Aves; Passeriformes; Estrildidae. The record is from RNAcentral.
AUAUUUAAAGAAGAACUCUUCAGUCCUUGAGUGCAGCUGUCCCAGGUUUAAAGCCAGUGUAAAGGAAACAUCCCAGUACAUCUGCAUGAGUUACACUCCUGUGACAAACUUGUGGCAGAAGAAAAGGUGUCAACAUGUGCAUUUCUCCAAAGGAAUGGCAAAGCUAUGAACUUAAACUACUUGUGACCAAGGAAUAUCAAGAAUUGUACUUCUCUCAGCACAAAAGCAAGUGCACACCAAGUGCUCUUGCCAGCAGAUGAUCAAUUUUGACUUCAAGAACAGGAGCUCCAGGAGAACCUUGGGCCUGACUUGUGGCAUCUCUGCAAUUUGUAUCUCAUGGUGCUGCAUCUGUGUCUUCAACAAGGCUU